This 21-nucleotide non-coding RNA is filed under the name Caenorhabditis elegans. The record is from RNAcentral. Lineage: Eukaryota; Metazoa; Nematoda; Chromadorea; Rhabditida; Rhabditidae.
UAUGACAACUAUUUAAAAAAA